Molecule: ribosomal RNA, 468 nt
Filed under: uncultured bacterium
Lineage: Bacteria
Description: partial 16S ribosomal RNA
Rfam family: Bacterial small subunit ribosomal RNA
Source: RNAcentral
GACGAACGCUGGCGGCGUGCUUAACACAUGCAAGUCGAACGGAAAGGCCCGGCUUUUUGGGGGUGCUCGAGGGGCGAACGGGGGAGUAACACGUGAGUAACCUGUCCUUGACUGUGGGAUAACUUCAUGAAACUGGGGCUAAUACCGGCUAGGAGUUCCUGCUUCAUGGUGGGGGCUGGAAAGUUUCGGCGGUUGGUGAUGGACUCGCGGCUCAUGAGCUUGUUGGUGGGGUAGUGGCUUACCAAGGCUUUGACGGGUAGCCGGCCUGAGAGGGUGACCGGCCACAUUGGGACUGAGAUACGGCCCAGACUCCUACGGGAGGCAGCAGUGGGGAAUAUUGCACAAUGGGCGGAAGCCUGAUGCAGCAACGCCGCGUGCGGGAUGACGGCCUUCGGGUUGUAAACCGCUUUCGCCUGUGACGAAGCGUGAGUGACGGUAAUGGGUAAAGAAGCACCGGCUAACUACGUG